CGAUAAAAAGAAAUAAAAAUAAAGGAAAAAUGAAAAGCGAUGAAAUCUCCUCCCACACUUAAACUGAACAUUGUCCUCAAUGUUUCGAUAUGAGAUAAGGUAUGAGUAACCUGGAAGAGAGAGAGAGAGAGAGAGAGCUAAGGGUGAGCACCGAUACUGUCACCGCCCUGGUCUAGAUGCCUGGGUCGAUGAUGUCUGGAUCGAGUACUAAGUCCUUCCUGCAGCUGCUGAGAGCGACCUAGGAGAGAUCCUUGGGUGGCCUCGAUGAGAGUGAAGUGAC
This 280-nucleotide long non-coding RNA is filed under the name Lathyrus oleraceus (garden pea). RNAcentral describes it as "Pisum sativum (pea) long non-coding RNA (PSAT_LNC042168)". The record is from RNAcentral. Lineage: Eukaryota; Viridiplantae; Streptophyta; Magnoliopsida; Fabales; Fabaceae.